Molecule: long non-coding RNA, 708 nt
Filed under: Elaeis guineensis (African oil palm)
Lineage: Eukaryota; Viridiplantae; Streptophyta; Magnoliopsida; Arecales; Arecaceae
Description: long non-coding RNA (EGUI_LNC042562)
Source: RNAcentral
GUCGUGGAUUCCGGCUGUGGGUAUUUUAUACCCAACACAAACCAAAUAUAAUUAAAUUAUAUUUAAUUAGACUAAAUCUCAGCUCAUUGGCUUAAUCAAAUUAAGCCAAUUAGCAAUCGAAUUGCUAAUCGAUCCUCCUGCAACACUUGCACUGGGUUAAAUGUCAAUCGUAUUGAUCAUUUAACCCUAGAAUGAUUCUUAAUCGUUGAUCAACCAUCUGAUCGGAUCAUAAACUCUAAUGUGUGUGACCUCAUAGGUCUGAACCUAAGUCGGUAGCAUAGGAAUAAAUUCCUGUACCAAUCGAAGUGAUCAUCUAGCAAUGGUACCCGACGACUGGAUAGAUCGAAUAUGUAGAACAACAUCCUUAGAACCCAUGUGGAUAUAGUUUUCAUAUAAUUCAUCCCCUUGACCAAAAUGAUCAUAGAAUACCCUAGAGUUCAACUGUCAACUCUGAUUAGGUUGUCCACAUUGUAUUUCAAAAUAUCAAAUCCAUCUGAUGGAUUAUCCUGGCCAAGAUUUUGCUAAAUUGAAAUACAACGACUCAUUCUUCUCCAACUCUUGGAGUGGUCAAUCCCAUCUUGAUCACACUCUGACUUUGCAAGUACUUGACUGUGCCCAGAAGCCUUCCAUCUCUGAAUUAGAAAUUCAGUUAGUCCAGUACCAAAGCACAGUGAGUUGCUUGCAAGUCACUGAGGUGAUCUCAGGUCU